Molecule: small nuclear RNA, 139 nt
Filed under: Sphenodon punctatus (tuatara)
Lineage: Eukaryota; Metazoa; Chordata; Lepidosauria; Sphenodontia; Sphenodontidae
Description: U4 spliceosomal RNA (ENSSPUG00000009841.1)
Rfam family: U4 spliceosomal RNA
About the family: U4 small nuclear RNA (U4 snRNA) is a component of the major U2-dependent spliceosome.
Source: Rfam by way of RNAcentral
AGCUUUGCGCAGUGGCAAUAUCAUAGCCCAUGAGGUUUAACUGAGGUGUGAUUAUUGCUAGUUGAAAACUUUACCCAAUACCCCGCUGCACUGGCUUGAAAGAGUCUGUGUUAGUAGUUUUUGUCAGUCUCUGCAGAGA